CCUACGGGAGGCAGCAGCAAGGAAUUUUGCGCAAUGGGCGAAAGCCUGACGCAGCGACGCCGCGUGAGGGAUGAAGAUCUUCGGAUUGUAAACCUCUUUUGCCGGGGAAGACACAGACGGUACUCGGCGAAUAAGUCACGGCUAACUACGUGCCAGCAGCCGCGGUAAUACGUAGGUGGCGAACGUUAUCCGGAUUUACUGGGCGUAAAGCGCGCGCAGGCGGUGUCGUAAGUUGGACGUGAAAUCUUUCGGCUCAACCGGGAGGCGCCGUUCAAUACUGCGACACUUGAGGGCAGAAGAGGGGAGUGGAAUUCCCGGUGUAGGGGUAAAAUCCUUAGAGAUCGGGAGGAACACCAGUGGCGAAGGCGGCUCCCUGGCCUGUUCCUGACGCUGAGGCGCGAAAGCGUGGGGAGCGAACGGGAUUAGAUACCCUGGUAGU
This 439-nucleotide ribosomal RNA is filed under the name uncultured bacterium. RNAcentral's name for it is "partial 16S ribosomal RNA". It matches the Rfam family "Bacterial small subunit ribosomal RNA", at positions 338 to 794 of the family's 1533-position model. The record is from RNAcentral.